AGGAUGUGCCCAGGGUGAGCACAGAUUCCCACAUCAGGCACAGUGGAAGCAGCUGGAGAGGCCUGGCACAUUCUGGGGCUCUGACCCGGCAUCUGGACCCCAGCCUGAGGGCUGUAUUUUUCACGAGCAUCCCAGGGAACCGCUGAGGUGGAAUGGACUAGUGACACCAGAAGCACCCAGGCAGCUGCCGGGCCUGUGCUGUCCUCAGCACUGCACGCGGACGCUUCUGUUUAAUCUUUGCGGCAACCCCGGGAGGGCCAACCCAUCCUACUGAAGACACUG
RNAcentral lists this long non-coding RNA (282 nucleotides) under Homo sapiens (human). RNAcentral's name for it is "HSALNT0227168". The record is from RNAcentral. Lineage: Eukaryota; Metazoa; Chordata; Mammalia; Primates; Hominidae.